This 1495-nucleotide ribosomal RNA is filed under the name Treponema sp. feline oral taxon 211. RNAcentral describes it as "bacterial SSU rRNA". It matches the Rfam family "Bacterial small subunit ribosomal RNA". The record is from RNAcentral. Lineage: Bacteria; Pseudomonadati; Spirochaetota; Spirochaetia; Treponematales; Treponemataceae.
GAGUUUGAUCCUGGCUCAGAACGAACGCUGACGGUGCGUUUUAAGCAUGCAAGUCGAACGGUAAGAAAGUGCUUGCACUUUCAUAGAGUGGCGGACUGGUGAGUAACGCGUGGGUGACCUGCCUUUGAGAUGGGGAUAGCUGCUAGAAAUAGCAGGUAAUACCGAAUGUGUUUAUACAGAUUAAGCUGUAUAAAGAAAGGAGCUAUAGCUCCGCUCGAAGAUGGGCUUGCGUCCCAUUAGCUAGUUGGUAGGGUAAAGGCUUACCAAGGCGACGAUGGGUAUCCGGCCUGAGAGGGUGGACGGACACAUUGGGACUGAGAUACGGCCCAAACUCCUACGGGAGGCAGCAGCUAAGAAUCUUCCGCAAUGGGCGAAAGCCUGACGGAGCGACACCGUGUGAAUGAAGAAGGCUGAAAAGUUGUAAAAUUCUUUUGCAGAUGAAGAAUAAGGAUAAGAGGGAAUGCUUAUCUGAUGACUGUAAUUAUGCGAAUAAGCCCCGGCUAAUUACGUGCCAGCAGCCGCGGUAACACGUAAGGGGCGAGCGUUGUUCGGAAUUAUUGGGCGUAAAGGGCAUGUAGGCGGUUUGAUAAGCCUGAUGUGAAAUGUGUGAGCUUAACUCACGAACUGCAUUGGGUACUGUUGAACUGGAAUCAUAGAAGGGGAACUGGAAUUCCAAGUGUAGGGGUGGAAUCUGUAGAUAUUUGGAAGAACACCGGUGGCGAAGGCGAGUUUCUAGCUAAUGAUUGACGCUGAGGUGCGAAGGUGCGGGGAUCAAACAGGAUUAGAUACCCUGGUAGUCCGCACAGUAAACUAUGUACACUAGGUGUUGGGUGAAGAAUUCAGUGCCGCAGCAAACGCGAUAAGUGUACCGCCUGGGGAGUAUGCCUGCAAGGGUGAAACUCAAAGGAAUUGACGGGGACCCACACAAGCGGUGGAGCAUGUGGUUUAAUUCGAUGAUACGCGAGGAACCUUACCUGGGUUUGACAUCAAGAGCGAUGUUAUAGAGAUAUGGCAGCGUAGAAAUACGGUUCUUGACAGGUGCUGCAUGGCUGUCGUCAGCUCGUGCCGUGAGGUGUUGGGUUAAGUCCCGCAACGAGCGCAACCCCUACUACCAGUUGCUAACAGGUGAAGCUGAGGACUCUGGUGGAACUGCCGGUGACAAACCGGAGGAAGGUGGGGAUGACGUCAAGUCAUCAUGACCCUUAUGUCCAGGGCUACACACGUGCUACAAUGGUUGUUACAAAUCGAAGCGAAUCCGUAAGGUUAAGCGAAUCGCAAAAAAACAAUCGUAGUCCGGAUUGAAGUCUGAAACUCGACUUCAUGAAGAUGGAAUCGCUAGUAAUCGCACAUCAGCACGGUGCGGUGAAUACGUUCCUGGGUCUUGUACACACCGCCCGUCACACCAUCCGAGUCGAGGGUACCCGAAGUCGUUAGCUUAACCCGUAAGGGAGGGCGAUGCCGAAGGUAUGUUUGGUAAGGAGGGUGAAGUCGUAAC